Molecule: transfer RNA, 74 nt
Filed under: Candidatus Woesearchaeota archaeon
Lineage: Archaea; Nanobdellati; Candidatus Woesearchaeota
Description: tRNA-Asp
Rfam family: tRNA
About the family: Transfer RNA (tRNA) molecules are approximately 80 nucleotides in length. Their secondary structure includes four short double-helical elements and three loops (D, anti-codon, and T loops).
Source: RNAcentral
GCCCGGAUGGUGUAGUUCGGUUAGCAUAAAGCCCUGUCGCGGCUUUGACCCGGGUUCAAAUCCCGGUUCGGGCG